Molecule: ribosomal RNA, 168 nt
Filed under: uncultured Atribacterota bacterium
Lineage: Bacteria; Pseudomonadati; Atribacterota
Description: uncultured Candidatus Atribacteria bacterium partial 16S ribosomal RNA
Rfam family: Bacterial small subunit ribosomal RNA
Source: RNAcentral
CCUACGGGAGGCAGCAGUGGGGAAUAUUGCGCAAUGGGGGAAACCCUGACGCAGCGACGCCGCGUGGAUGAUGAAGCCCUUCGGGUUGUAAAGUCCUGUUCUGGGGGACGAAACCUUAAGGGUCCAAUAGGCCCAUUAAGCUGACGGUACCCCAAGAGAAAGCUCCGG